GACGAACGCUGGCGGCGUGCUUAACACAUGCAAGUCGAACGGAAAGGCCCUGCUUUUGUGGGGUGCUCGAGUGGCGAACGGGUGAGUAACACGUGAGUAACCUGCCCUUGACUUUGGGAUAACUUCAUGAAACUGGGGCUAAUACCGGAUAGGAGCUCCUGCUGCAUGGUGGGGGUUGGUAAGUUUCGGCGGUUGGGGAUGGACUCGCGUCUUAUCAGCUUGUUGGUGGGGUAGUGGCUUACCAAGGCUUUGACGGGUAGCCGGCCUGAGAGGGUAACCGGCCACAUUGCGACUGAGAUACGGCCCAGACUCCUACGGGAGGCAGCAGUGGAGAAUAGUGCACAAUGGGCGGAAGCAUGAUGCAGCAACGCCGCGUGCGGGAUGACGGCCAUCGGGUUGUAAACCGAUUUCGCCUGUGACGAAGCGUGAGUGACGGUAAUGGGUAAAGAAGCACCGGCUAACUACGUG
This 468-nucleotide ribosomal RNA is filed under the name uncultured bacterium. RNAcentral's name for it is "partial 16S ribosomal RNA". It matches the Rfam family "Bacterial small subunit ribosomal RNA", at positions 28 to 507 of the family's 1533-position model. The record is from RNAcentral.